AUCCUCUCUGUUUUUUAGAGGAAGAAACUGAGACCCAAGGGGGGAAAUGACUCACCCAAAGUCACAGCUUUCCAGCCACAGCCAAUUUUGAACUCAGAACUUCCUGUCUUCAGGCUCAGCUGCUUCUGGGCCUGGAGAAGCUCCCAGGUUAUUUAGAAACCAGUGAAGGAGAGCAGAGACACCCGCCAGCAGGGCUUGAGUGUGUACGCGCGUGUGCGUCUCCUUCUUGUGUGUGUGGGACUGGGGGAGGCUCCUCCAGGCACAGCCAGUGAGGAGGAGCUGCCGAGGGGAAAGGAGGCCAUCCUCGGGUCCGAGAAGUCAGCCUGCCCUGGGAGGGUAAGCACGAGAUCGGAGGAGCACGGAGCGGGGUCAGAGGGAUCCACGGGGGCUGGACUGGGCUGGGGAGAGAUGAUGAGCCCCCCAUCAGGGGCGGCCUCCCGAGAGCCCUAGAAGGCAGGGCUGGAGCCCGCAGCAGUGACUGGUGAUCGGAAGCGGCGGCUCCCCGCGCUCUCUCCGCAGCGGAGGAUGUCCGGCGGGACUGGGAGGGGGGGCACCAAGGGGGGGCUCAGCCGCCAGAAACACGGUCCCCUCCCCCUCGCCCCCCCUCCUGCUGGGCCGCACUAUUUGCAUGGCCCCGCCUCCCCUUAGCCCCCUCCCCCUCUGGUGGUGCGGAAGGCCGCGAUUGGGCCAGAACGCUCCCAGCCCGCCCCCUGCUGCCCCCUCCCCCGGCCCGCCCCCCCAGCACCCCGAGGCGGCCCGGGCUGCGGAGGCUCCAGGCUCUGGGCUCUGUUUGGCAGGACGCGCGCGUCGGGGCAAAAGGACAGACGGACUGGCGGGCCGACCCAAGGCAAGAAGGAGAGGACUCCCAUCUUCCAGUGCUUCUGACCUAGAAGCUUCCCUGUGCCCCAAAUUUGGGAUUCUGUUACGCUGGCCCUCCUGCUGGAAAAGGACAAGAGGCAGGCACCAUGAAGGCUACCAUCCUCACCCUCCUGCUGUUGCUGCUGUCCAUGGUAAGGGCUUAAUGAGUGCCUUUGCUGAUUCUCUGGGGUUUUCUAAGCAGUCUACAGGCUGGGAUAAUCUGACCUCUUUGUGCUCUGUUGCUUUGAUCCUUCAUUUCCUCCUCUUGCCUACUUGCUCUUAGAAUCAUUUCUAGAACCACGGGGAAUCGUGAUGGGGAAGAUCACAGGAAUGUUUUAGCCAGCCCUGUUGAGGAUUGGGAAUAAUGGCAGACAGAACACUGAGGUCUAAAUGGAUGCAAUGCCUCUGUUUGCCCCCUCUGCACACAGGUUGCCCAAGAGCUGACAAAUAGGUCAGCUUGACUGGGAUCUGGAGCUCCGAACACCCCCACUGUCCCUUCCAUCCUCCUCCUUCCAA
This 1374-nucleotide long non-coding RNA is filed under the name Monodelphis domestica (gray short-tailed opossum). Its description in RNAcentral is "lncRNA (ENSMODG00000047108.1)". The record is from RNAcentral. Lineage: Eukaryota; Metazoa; Chordata; Mammalia; Didelphimorphia; Didelphidae.